This 227-nucleotide long non-coding RNA is filed under the name Elaeis guineensis (African oil palm). Its description in RNAcentral is "long non-coding RNA (EGUI_LNC028782)". Lineage: Eukaryota; Viridiplantae; Streptophyta; Magnoliopsida; Arecales; Arecaceae. The record is from RNAcentral.
AGACCCUCUGAACCCCUGAAGUGACAAACGUUUGCUAUCCAAAAACCUCCUACUCUUUUUCUCUCAGCAUACCCAGCUCUCUCUCUUCUUCAUAGGAUUUCGAUCUCCGUACAGUGCAUCCACAGAGAAACCAAGCCACGCAACCACUAUUCACGAGGCUUCUUGCAUCUCUGUUCACAAAAAACCACCACCAUAACAAGAACACACUGUUCCCAGGCCUUUAUAGG